Molecule: long non-coding RNA, 623 nt
Organism: Acanthopagrus latus (yellowfin seabream)
Lineage: Eukaryota; Metazoa; Chordata; Actinopteri; Spariformes; Sparidae
Exons: 2
Source: RefSeq, a predicted model, not a curated record
AUUUAAGAGGAUCAAACUCAUGAUCCAUCAGCUGAAACGAGUCGGAGCAGCCUCACCUGCUGCCAGACGAUAACGCCUCUACAUGGAUUCCUCACCUGUCUGUGCUUUUAAUGUGAAGGUGAACACAAAGUGCUGCUCGAUGGAUCCUUGAACUGAUGAUCGAACUGGAUUAAACAUUUCCGACGUUCCUCACAGAUGUUCCAAAACUGACCUACUUUCUUUCUAUGAAAACAUUCUCACCAAGGCUGCAGCCAGGUUGUAUUAUCCAUCACUACAGAUGGAGGGGAAGACAGACUGAGAUCAUGAAGUAAACGUCAGGAGGAGAUAUUUGGAUCAUCAGGUGAUCAGAGUGUCAGGAUCCAUCGGGACCAACAAAUAAACUGGAAGAGGAGAAGAAAUAACAAAGUUCUGAUAGAAGAAAAGACCAAAGUGACACGUCUGAACAGGAAGUGAAGGUGUACAUUCUACAGUCGAGGUUUCCAAGUGUAAACUAUAAAAUAAAUGUCUGGCGUCUGUUUCCUCUUCAUCUCCCAACAUGUCAGACGUCACUCGUUCAGUUUUUGUUUCGUUGAGCUGCAGACGACGAGCUGGAUUUUACAGAUUGUGGUUGAAGUUUCUAUGAA